Long non-coding RNA from Vicia villosa (hairy vetch), 1702 nucleotides. RefSeq lists it as uncharacterized. The transcript is spliced from 3 exons. The record is from RefSeq and is a predicted model, not a curated record. NCBI's taxonomy places the organism in Eukaryota, Viridiplantae, Streptophyta, Magnoliopsida, Fabales, Fabaceae.
UCAUGACUUCUUAACACAUCAGAUUUGAAGAGAGGAAGCCAUAUCCGAUAGGUCCGCAAACACUAUUACUCAAUUCUGAAUCACAAGAGGCUUUCAAAGACAAAUCUUUCUCCUUUGUUAAAGAUGUCAAAACGACUGGGGAGAUGAUUUAUCUGCAGGAUGAAACGUUCUGCAAUAUAAUUGGCCCAACUAAAAGGCUAAAGGCUAAUCGAUUCAGCUGGUAUUAUGAAGUUUGUCCAACCUACAAAAAGAUUAACAAAUCACCUGGUGAGCCCUUUCAAUGCGACUGCUCCGGGAUUAAGUCUCCUCGCAUCACCAAGUAUAAAAUAGAGAUUGAGGUUGAGCAUGAAAACAAGGUUAGUGGUUUCGUCAUGAUUUAAGACAAAUUAUGAAGAAGGUUUGUAUUUGUAACUCAAAUCUGUCAUUCACUAUUUUCAAAUGAAGUCAUCAUUAUCACUUUCAGCUUUUCUUACCAAUGUUAACCUUAACCCCCUUUGAUCAAUAACAAUAAUAUAAUUCAUGAUUGUUUGGUUUUGUUUAUCAUAUCGGCACAUUUCCAGUGGCUGUAUACCUGCUUCGAUGAAUUUUUACACACAAAUUAUAGCGUAUAAAUGCCACUGUUGUUAUGACCCUAAAUUCAGUCGCUCUACACUUAAAUCAGAAUGCUGUCCUAAUUCCUGUUAUGACAUAUAUUCAGUUGCUAUAUACACUUAAAACAGAAUGUCGUCCUAAUUUUUGCUCUGACAUAUAUUCAGUUGAUGUACACUUUCUAUUGAAUGUUGGCCCCAAAUUGCUGUUAUGAGUUGUAGUACACUUAAAACAGAAUAUUGUCCUAAAAUUUGUUAACACAUAUUAAGUUGCUCUUCAUUUUCUAUUGAAUGUUGUCUUAUUUGUUGUUAUGUCAUAUAUUCAGUUGCUCUACACUUUCUAUUGAAUGUUGGCCUACUAACUUGCUUAUUACCUUAUCAUGGUCAGUUAUUUUUUUCAUCCUACCAGUUCUACUUCUGCUGCCCAGAAUAGGAGCUUGGAUGCUAGAUUUAACAAUACUCCGUCUAAUAGGUUGUCAGAAGAUGAUUCACAUUAAGAUUCAGUACCUUCGGAUUUCUCGACUCCAAGGUAAUCUGCUACCAAGAGGCCUAAGAAUGCAAAGCAUUCCAAAGCUAAAUGGUGGCCACCUUUUUCUACUUAUUUUGUGUAAGGAUUUAUUAUUAUGUCUAUCGGACACUGUUGUUCUGCCACAUUAGACUUAGGCUCUACAAGACUUCACCUUAAUUUGUAAUGACAUGUCCAUUAUUAUGGAUAACAUAUUAACAUCCUUUCUGUUUUGAUAAACCUUACUAUUCUAAUGUUCUUUAUUAAUCUAUGAUCAUGUUUCUUCAAAUCACAUGGAUAUGUUUAAGAACAUCUUAAUUCUGUCAAAAUAUGACCUCAAUGAUGCAAUCCCGACAUAUGAUUAUAUUAAAUGAUGAUCAUUGACAAAGAUGUUUGCAUAUAAUGAAGAUUGAGUUAACUGAACUACUGAUGAUCACUUCAAUAUCCGUUUUAUCUGCUUUCAAACUCCUAAGACAGAGUAUCAUAUUUUCUAAUGGCAUGCUCUCUCAUACUUUACAAGUAUUGCUUCUUUUUGGAUAGUACAAAAAAUACUUCACCUUUUCAAGUAUUGCUUCUGAGUAGGACUAUAAUAUCUCCUGCUACAUAUAUC